CUUGUUGGUGAGGUAACGGCUCACCAAGGCAAUGACGGGUAGCGGGACUGAGAGGUUGGCCCGCAACAUCGGGACUGAGACACUGCCCGGACCUCCACGGAGGGCUGCAGUAACGAAUAUUGGGCAAUGAGCGAAAGCUUGACCCAGCGACGCCGCGUGUAGGAGGAAGUCCUUCGGGACGUAAACUACUGUCAGGGGUAAGAAAGUGCGUUUCGGCGUAUUGAUCUAACCCAGAGGAAGUCACGGCUAACUUCGUGCCAGCAGCCGCGGUAAGACGAAGGUGGCAAGCGUUGUUCGGUAUCACUGGGCUUAAAGCGUGUGUAGGCGGAAGCUUAAGCGUUUUGUGAAAUCCCUCGGCUUAACCGAGGAAUUGCUUGACGAACUGGGCUUCUUGAGGCAGGUAGGGGUGCGCAGAACUCUUGGUGGAGCGGUGGAAUGCGUAGAUAUCAAGAGGAAUGCCGGUGGAGAAGUCGGUGCACUGGGCCUGACCUGACGCUGAGACACGAAAGCGUGGAGCGAACGGGAUUAGAUACCCCGGUAGUCCACGCCGUAAACGAUGCCUACUAGGUUGUGGUGGUUCUGACGCCAGCACAGCCGAAGCUAAAGUGUUAAGUAGGCCGCCUGGGGAGUACGGUCGCAAGGCUAAAACUCAAAGGAAUUGACGGGGGCUCACACAAGCGGUGGAGCAUGUGGAUUAAUUCGAAACAACGCGCAGAACCUUACCAGGGUUUGACAUGCUUGGAUGCCGCCGGGGAAACUCGGUUUGGCUGCCUUCGGGUGAAACUUGCACAGGUGCUGCAUGGCUGUCGUCAGCUCGUGUCGUGAGAUGUCGGGUUAAGUCCCUUAACGAGCGAAACCCUUGCCGCUAGUUGCCAGCGAGUCAUGUCGGGGACUCUAGCGGGACUGCCGGUGUUAAACCGGAGGAAGGUGGGGAUGACGUCAAGUCAUCAUGGCCUUUAUGCCCUGGGCUUCACACGUGCUACAAUGGUCAGAACAGAGCGACGCGAUACCGCGAGGUGGAGCAAAUCGCAAAAAUCUGGCCCCAGUUCGGAUUGCAGGCUGGCAACUCGCCUGCAUGAAGGUGGAAUCGCUAGUAAUCGCGUAUCAGCGAUGACGCGGUGAAUGUGUUCCUGAGCCUUGUACACACCGCCCGUCAAGUGAUGGGAGUUGGGAGUACCCGAAGUCGGAUUGCUAACCCGCAAGGGAGGCGUCUGCCGACGGUAAGCCCGGUGACUGGCACUAAGUCGUAACAAGGUA
Molecule: ribosomal RNA, 1257 nt
Filed under: metagenome
Description: bacterial SSU rRNA
Rfam family: Bacterial small subunit ribosomal RNA
Source: RNAcentral